This 253-nucleotide ribosomal RNA is filed under the name uncultured bacterium. RNAcentral's name for it is "partial 16S ribosomal RNA". It matches the Rfam family "Bacterial small subunit ribosomal RNA", at positions 524 to 776 of the family's 1533-position model. The record is from RNAcentral.
UACGUAGGGGGCAAGCGUUGUCCGGAAUCAUUGGGCGUAAAGAGCGUGUAGGCGGCCAGAAAAGUCCGCUGUGAAAACUCGAGGCUCAACUUCGAGCUGUCGGUGGAAACUUUCUGGCUAGAGUCCGGAAGAGGAGAGUGGAAUUCCUGGUGUAGCGGUGGAAUGCGCAGAUAUCAGGAGGAACACCAAUGGCGAAGGCAGCUCUCUGGUACGUGACUGACGCUGAGACGCGAAAGCGUGGGGAGCGAACAGG